Molecule: long non-coding RNA, 550 nt
Filed under: Bactrocera latifrons
Lineage: Eukaryota; Metazoa; Arthropoda; Insecta; Diptera; Tephritidae
Description: uncharacterized LOC108977674, transcript variant X2
Source: RNAcentral
UGUAGGUAAUAUCGAAUCUCCAAAUGCGAUUGAACUCCAUGUUAUUUGAAAAUGUAUCUUAUAACAUUUAUUUAAGUUCCGACAAUAACGAUAACAAAAAAAUGGGCAUUCAAAUGGUUGAUAGGUGAUACGCGUUUACAGCAGGCAUUAGGAACCUUGGCGAAAAGGUGCUGGUGGGUCGUCGAAUAACGUGACAUUGUCGAUAGAAAUUCUAAUGUGUGCAGUUAAAUAAAAUGUGUGUCGCUUGGCCAAUAACAAUGUAUUGGUAGUCACUUUUCCAGAAUACGAUGCUUUUAAAAUAUUUAUGUGGGGUAUGAAUGACAGAAAUAGUCAGGGUGCGCAGAGUUCGUUGGCGGAAUGGGUGUAAAAGUGAGCGAUUUACCAAUGCCUGAAACUGAUAAGACAAAACUUGACGAAUAUAUUGAUAAAAUUUACAAUAUAGUGGGAAAAUAUGUUAGCAAAUUUUGGAGGAAAAAUCUCCAGUCGGACUCAAUCACUAUUAUUAUUAUAUUUAAAUUACUCAAUACUAUUUUUUUAAUGUUAUUUUUAA